CCUACGGGAGGCUGCAGUGGGGAAUAUUGGACAAUGGGCGAAAGCCUGAUCCAGCCAUGCCGCGUGUGUGAAGAAGGCCUUCGGGUUGUAAAGCACUUUCAGUGGGGAAGAAAGCCUUGGGGCUAAUACCCUCGAGGAAGGACAUCACCCACAGAAGAAGCACCGGCUAACUCCGUGCCAGCAGCCGCGGUAAUACGGAGGGUGCGAGCGUUAAUCGGAAUUACUGGGCGUAAAGCGCGCGUAGGCGGUCUGAUAAGCCGGUUGUGAAAGCCCCGGGCUCAACCUGGGAACGGCAUCCGGAACGGUCGGGCUAGAGUGCAGGAGAGGAAGGUAGAAUUCCCGGUGUAGCGGUGAAAUGCGUAGAGAUCGGGAGGAAUACCAGUGGCGAAGGCGGCCUUCUGGACUGACACUGACGCUGAGGUGCGAAAGCGUGGGUAGCAAACAGAAUUGAUACCCCGGUAGUC
Molecule: ribosomal RNA, 464 nt
Filed under: Vreelandella stevensii
Lineage: Bacteria; Pseudomonadati; Pseudomonadota; Gammaproteobacteria; Oceanospirillales; Halomonadaceae
Description: partial 16S ribosomal RNA
Rfam family: Bacterial small subunit ribosomal RNA
Source: RNAcentral